Molecule: long non-coding RNA, 1086 nt
Organism: Cicer arietinum (chickpea)
Lineage: Eukaryota; Viridiplantae; Streptophyta; Magnoliopsida; Fabales; Fabaceae
Source: RefSeq, a predicted model, not a curated record
AUAACAAAUAUUCUCUGCGUCUCUUUCUCUCCUUCUUCGUAUUAAUUGUGUGUCUGCAAAACUUGCAUUUUUUUUCAACUCUCUCAAAGCCAACAUGAGUCUCAUCUUCAAGAAACCAAACCAAGUACUAGAGCUAAUUCACCUGAAAAUCCACCUGGGACUGGGUAUGCACUGAUGAAACAUAGCUCUGUGUUGUGUGUCUGUGGAGAUAAGGGCUGUUUGGUGCUAAUUAAAUCAUCUAAUCAAGAAGGGAACCAACUAAGAGUUUAACAAUCUGCAAAGUGAAUGUUGGGUUUGCUGCUGAAAGAGAGGAACUGGGUGAAGUUUGAAAAAGAGGAACUGGCAGUGGUUCUUUAAAAUUAGGUAGGAUAUUAAGCAAAUCAAACUUGUAUUGAGGAAACACCUUCUAAGGUUAUUAUGUAGACUAAAAUGGCAAAUCAUGUAUUGUUGUAGAUUUUUUCAACCGGGUACAUGUGCCCCGACCCACCAAUUGAGUCAGUCUUUGCCUGGAGGUCAGAUAUUACUACCACAUGCCGACAACCAACCAAGCUACAGAAAACAGUCAUGGCAGGUGUCAUGAGCGAGCUCAUGUCGGAUUAUAAAGCGCAAGUAACAUUAUUUCCUUUAAACAUGAAAUACUUACAAGACAGUGUAUUUGGCAAGUUAGUCCAAUCAUGUGGGAUCAUCUUCACUUCUGAGGCCUUGAUCAAGUCAAACAGUGCUUGAUUGACCUGAAUUUUGAAAUGUUUUAGUUCAUUUUCAAUGUAAGUACAGAAUGCAAACUCUGCAGCAAGUGUGCUAUAUAUAUAGUUCACAUUGUACCUCUUCAGGCCGCUCAUGACUCACCAAAUGACCUCCAUGAAGAUCUACCAGCCGAGCCAUUGGAUAAAACCUCUCGGCAAGUUUUCUUGCAUAAUAUAGCUGCGCAAUUAUAUCAUCCCUGUAUGUGUAGCAAUCUCAAGUUAAAAUUAUGAAGUAGAUCUAAUGUGUCUGUGACUCUGUGUGAAGCAUUUUCAUGCAUAAUUUGCCUAAUCUGUGCACGAUUGAGUUUCAAGUUUCAUUUAUACAGCACUACAUUAAUGUCUU